Molecule: ribosomal RNA, 1689 nt
Filed under: Paratrypauchen microcephalus (comb goby)
Lineage: Eukaryota; Metazoa; Chordata; Actinopteri; Gobiiformes; Gobiidae
Also listed under: 2 other names
Description: 16S ribosomal RNA
Rfam family: Bacterial large subunit ribosomal RNA
Source: RNAcentral
ACCCUCCUCCUAACAGCUAGCCCUCUCCCUUAAAUUCAACAAAUAAAUAUUAACUAACCCCAAAUACUCUAAAAAUAAUAAAACAAACCAUUUUACCCCCCUAGUAUAGGUGAUAGAAGAGGACCAAGGCGCAAUAGAAAAAGUACCGCAAGGGAAAGCUGAAAGAGAAAUGAAAUAACCCAGUAAAGAGGUAAAAAGCAGAGAUUUUCCCUCGUACCUUUUGCAUCAUGAAUUAGUCAGAAACCUUCAAGCAAAGUGCCCUUCAGUUUGAACCCCCGAAACUGAGCGAGCUACUCCAAGACUGCCUAUUUAGGGCUAACCCGUCUCUGUGGCAAAAGAGUGGGGUGAGCUUAGAGUAGAGGUGAUAGACCUAACGAGCCCAGUUAUAGCUGGUUGCCUAUAAAAUGAACAGAAGUUCAGCCUUUUGUCUUCUUUAUUCAACUAGGGUUAACACCCCCAACUGACACCAAGAAGCCUAAAGAGUUAUUCAAGGGGGGUACACCCCCCUUGAAAAAAGACACAACUUUAUCAAGCAGGCUAAAGAUCAAAAACCCAAAGGCAAUUUUACCUUGGCAGGCCUAAAAGCAGCCACCCAUAUAGAAAGCGUUAAAGCUCAAGUAUACUGCCCACCCCCAAUUCCAAUAAUAAUAUCUUAAGCCUCUAUUUUAAAUAAUAGGCCUACUUAUGCAAACAUAAAAGAGAUACUGCUAAUAUGAGUAAUAAGAGGGCUAAGACCCUCUCCAAGGCACCUGUUUACAUCAGAACGAACCCACACUGAAAAUUAACGCCCCCAACCUCAGAGGGUAAUGAAAAAUUAAAACUAACCUAGAAAACCUCUCAACCCCCAGCGUUAGCCCCACACAGGUGUGCCCAAGGAAAGACUAAAAGAAAAAGAAGGAACUCGGCAAACACUGGCUUCGCCUGUUUACCAAAAACAUCGCCUCUUGGACAUAAAUAUAUAAGAGGUCCCGCCUGCCCUGUGACUCUUAGUUUAACGGCCGCGGUAUUUUGACCGUGCAAAGGUAGCGUAAUCACUUGUCUUUUAAAUGGAGACCAGUAUGAAUGGCACAACGAGAGCCAAACUGUCUCCUUUUUCCAGUCAAUGAAAUUGAUUUUCCCGUGCAGAAGCGGGGAUACCCCCAUAAGACGAGAAGACCCUAUGGAGCUUUAGACACAAGGCAGCCCAUGUUAAAAACCCAAGUUAAUGGAAACAACAAAAUGGUUUCUGCCCUAAUGUCUUUGGUUGGGGCGACCAUGGAGCAACAAGAAACCCCCAUGUGGAACAGGGCCUACUCCCUUAAAGCCAGAGCUACAGCUCUCGCAAACAGAACAUUUGACCAACAAGAUCCGGCAAAGCCGAUCAACGGACCGAGUUACCCUAGGGAUAACAGCGCAAUCCCCUUUUAGAGCCCAUAUCGACAAGGGGGUUUACGACCUCGAUGUUGGAUCAGGACAUCCUAAUGGUGCAGCCGCUAUUAAGGGUUUGUUUGUUCAACAAUUAAAGUCCUACGUGAUCUGAGUUCAGACCGGAGAAAUCCAGGUCAGUUUCUAUCUAUGACUAAUGCUCUUUUCUAGUACGAAAGGACCGAAAAGAGAGGGCCAAUACUUCAAGCAAGCCCUGCCCUGACCUAAUGCAAUCAACUAAAUUAGGCAAAAGGACAUGCCUCCUUAAGCCUAAGAAAAAGGCAA